GGUGGAUCGUCACCGAGAGCAGUAAUCGCAUCGACUGCAGAGAUAGCUGGUGCAUCUUCCCAUCUUGUGAAACUAGAGACUACCACUAGUACAUUCCAACCCUGCCACGGUGAUACCCCAACACUACACAAGUCAUAUCUGUACGAGAAAUUGAAAAAAAAAGACGUACGUCCCACCCACUUGCGGUUGACGCUAAUACCGGACGUACCAGCGUAUUAUCAAUAUUUUACCGUAGAGCUAAAAAAUAGCCGAAAAACGGCCAUGUUCAAAAAUACGUACCGGGGCCAAAGAAAAUUGUAGAGAAUUUUUCAAAAAAGCAAAAUGAAGUGUGGUAGAGACGAUGAGGUAUGCUGCUACAGCUCAAAUGCAGCGAUAUUCGUGAAAUGGAAAACAUGGGACUGGGUGAUCAAUCUUGAGUGCACAGCACGGAGUUGCUUUGUGAUGUAAGGGAAUCCAGACCAGACUGUUCAGCCAUAUGGAAGCGAAUGAUAGAAGACACUCGGACGCUGGUAACCGGUUCAGA
Molecule: long non-coding RNA, 523 nt
Organism: Neodiprion fabricii
Lineage: Eukaryota; Metazoa; Arthropoda; Insecta; Hymenoptera; Diprionidae
Exons: 3
Source: RefSeq, a predicted model, not a curated record